Molecule: long non-coding RNA, 3071 nt
Organism: Piliocolobus tephrosceles (Ugandan red Colobus)
Lineage: Eukaryota; Metazoa; Chordata; Mammalia; Primates; Cercopithecidae
Source: Ensembl
CUUCUUCAUUCCUAUAGUUAAAGAAAAAACUAUAAGAUCCGUGCAAUAUGAAGAAAAAAAAAUGCACUUGGACAUAUCUACUGUUUUUUUGUUGGAUAAUCAAAAAUAGUUCCACUUUUAAAAAACUAAAGACAUGUUUUAUUUUGUAACGCGUUUGUUACAUUUAUUUGUUACAUUUAUUUGUUACAUUUAUUUGUUACNNNNNNNNNNAUUUAUUUGUUACAUUUAUUUGUUACAUUUAUUUGUUACAUUUAUUUAUUAUAGUUGUUUGUUACAGCUAUUUGUAAUAUAUGCUUUUUUUUGCUUUUUUUUUUUUUUUAUUCGCUUAUAGAAAGUGUUACAUUAAGCUUGCUUUUGAUAAAUUUCUUAUUUUUACACAACCUUGUAUAUGUAAGAAACCACUGUAAAAGUAAUUAUAUAUAUUUUCCACUUCUGCAUUUUUUUUAUUUCUAUUUUUAGUAAUGUAUAUAUAUACAUGCACCGUUUGUCUUUCUUAGCUAUGUUACGCUUUAUUAAAAAAAAAAAAAAGAUAUAAAUUUACAAUUGCAUGAGCUUAAAAAUUCCCAUUUUUGUCUUAUUUUUACACAAUAUUAGAAUUUUUUUUUUUUUUUACUUGGUUGAUUUAAUUUGAUUUUAUUUAUUUUUUUUUUUUUGUUUUAUAAAUAGAACAAAUAACAAUUAUACUUUUUGUUUUUUUGCUAAUUUAUUGUUUUGUUAAUUUACUGUUUUUAUUUUUGUUCUAUCCACAUUGUGUAUUUUUUGGAGGACAAAACAUGCAAAGGUGAAUGCUCAACUUAAUCACUUAAACCGUUGCACAUGUUGUAAACAGAUGUAUAUAUAUAUAUACUUACAUGUUUUAUAUACACACGUGUUUAUAUAUGGACUGGGCUGUAUGCCGCAUUGUUAAUUAACACAAUCUGCUUCAAUAAAUAAUCCGUUUCAACAAUCUGCUUCAGCAAUAUGCUUUAAAAAUGUAAAAACAAUCCCGAAUAUGAAAAUGCAUUACUUAACUUUUGUUUUGAUUCUAAUCAGCUGCUACUUAUUUAAGGGCAUAAAUAAUAGCCCUUUUAUUUCUGAUAUGAAAAUGUUAGAAAUGAUAAAAGAUAAUUUUGUGGAAACAAAGAGUUCAGAGAUUUUUAAUUUUUCUUUUUUUUAUUUAUAUAAUGCUUUAAAAUGUACUUUAACUGAACCAGUUUUUGUUUCUUAUAGUGAUGAUAAAUACCAAAAAGAAAUAAUUAUUAUUAAAAACAAAUUAAUAAAACUUAAGGAUCAAAAACAUAAUAGGAACUUAUGGGUUUUUUGGGAGUCUGAUUUGUUAGAUUUGUUAAUAUUGAAUAUCCAGAAAAUCGAAAAAAAUAUGAGAAAUAAUGGAGAUGGCUUUAUAGCAAUUUAUGAACAAUUAAAAAUGUCUGAUCCGAAUUUUAACAAUAUUACUGUUUUAUCUUUAAAUAUAUGUACCCAUCCAAUUUUUUCUAUUGAAGAAGUUGCCAUUUAUUUAACUAUCUUACCAUUUAUAUUGGAUAAACUAACCAUUUCUGCACCUGACUACAACUUAGAAUUAAAAUCUGUUUUUCAAAAAAGUUUAAACUUUUUUAAUUUUUAUAUGUCUUUAACAAAUGAACAUAAUAUGUAUAUUUAUAAUAUGAAUCAUAAAGAGAUACAUGUUUUUUUAAAAGUUUAUGAUAAAUAUGAUUUUAAACCUAUGAACGAAGAAAAUAAUUUAAAUUUGUAUGAUGAACUAUAUUUGAAAAAUAAAUAUGGUAAAAUUUUAAUCAAUAAUUUAUUUAUUUUAUAUUAUAAUAUAUUUUUUAUAACACCAAAUGAAAAGUUAUAUUAUUUUAAUUAUAUUGAUAUAAUACCUAUAUAUGUUAGAACAAAUAAUGAAAUGUUAAAAUCGAAGUAUUAUAAUGUAGAAAAUCCUUAUUAUACCCUAAUUGAAAAUACAUAUAAAAAUAACUUAAAAGUAAAUGAAUCAAUUAUAUUAGUAAAAAUAUUUAACAACGACACUGCUAUUGAAAUUAAUAGUAAUCACCGGGAAAGUAGUGCUAGUGCUAGUGGUAGUAGUAGUAGUGGUAUUAGGAGUGGUAGUAGUAGUGCUAGUAGUAGUGCUAGUGGUAGUGCUAGUGGUAGUAGUAGUGGUAUUAGGAGUGGUAUUAGGAGUGNNNNNNNNNNUAGGAGUGGUAUUAGGAGUGGUAGUAGUAGUGCUAGUGGUAGUGCUAGUGGUAGUAGUAGUAGUAGUAGUAGUGGUAUUAGGAGUGGUAGUAGGAGUGGUAGUAGGAGUGGUAGUAGUAGUGGUAGUAGUAGUAGUGGUAGCAGUACUAUUACCAGUACCAGUACCAAUUGUAAUAAUAAUGGCAGUGAUGGGGAUAGUAAAGAACGUUGUCAUAAUAGUAAAAAUGUAAAAACGCCCUAUUACUUAAGAGCUAAAAUUAUUUAUAGAACACUUAUAAAUACUGUAAAUGAUUAUUCUUCACUUGAAAAUGGCAUAAAAUUUACUUUUCUUCACUCUCAAAGUAUGGAUGACACAAUUAUGUCAUCGUCAAUUGAAGACGUAGCAUUAGUUAUGAUUGUGUUAGUAGACAUAAAUUUAAAAAGUAAUGUUUUAUUAAAAAACAUAAAUAAUUUAAUAUAUUCAAAUAAUAUUGAUCAAGAAGAUAAACAAAGUAUUAAUAAUAGAGUAACUAUAUUAGGCUCUUGUAUUUACAACAAUAACACAAAAACACCAAUAUAUACGGGUUUCUUUGAUAGAGGGAUUAGCGCUUUAAAUCUAAAUAAUAUUUUAAAACAUUUAACAUUUACAACAAAAAUGUUUUAUAUUUCAAUUGGGAGUAUGGAAAAGAAUGACAAAAUGAGAGCGGAUGUUAUAGCUACACGAAUUAUGAGUAACUACAAUAAUUUGUACAACGUCUUAGUUCUUUUUGAAAAAUAUGAGCUUUUAAAAUAUGAUAAGAUUGCAAAUAUAAACAGAUGUGAAGCUUGCUUAAUUGGUUACAAGGGAUUAUAUACUUUGUACGCUUCCAUAUGUAUACCAAUUAUAAUAAGUUUACUUAUUUGUUAUUAUAUAUAUAAAA